Molecule: transfer RNA, 72 nt
Organism: Phaethon lepturus (White-tailed tropicbird)
Lineage: Eukaryota; Metazoa; Chordata; Aves; Phaethontiformes; Phaethontidae
Rfam family: tRNA
About the family: Transfer RNA (tRNA) molecules are approximately 80 nucleotides in length. Their secondary structure includes four short double-helical elements and three loops (D, anti-codon, and T loops). Further hydrogen bonds mediate the characteristic L-shaped molecular structure. tRNAs have two regions of fundamental functional importance: the anti-codon, which is responsible for specific mRNA codon recognition, and the 3' end, to which the tRNAs corresponding amino acid is attached (by aminoacyl-tRNA synthetases). tRNAs cope with the degeneracy of the genetic code in two manners: having more than one tRNA (with a specific anti-codon) for a particular amino acid; and 'wobble' base-pairing, i.e. permitting non-standard base-pairing at the 3rd anti-codon position.
Source: Rfam
GGGGAUGUAGCUCAGCGGGAGAGCGCUUGCUUUGCGUGUAAGAGGCCCUGGGUUCAACCCCCAGCAUCUCCA